GACGAACGCUGGCGGCGUGCUUAACACAUGCAAGUCGAACGGAAAGGCCCUGCUUUUGUGGGGUGCUCGAGUGGCGAACGGGUGAGUAACACGUGAGUAACCUGCCCUUGACUUUGGGAUAACUUCAGGAAACUGGGGCUAAUACCGGAUAGGAGCUCCUGCUGCAUGGUGGGGGUUGGAAAGUUUCGGCGGUUGGGGAUGGACUCGCGGCUUAUCAGCGUGUUGGUGGGGUAGUGGCUUACCAAGGCUUUGACGGGUAGCCGGCCUGAGAGGGUGACCGGCCACAUUGGGACUGAGAUACGGCCCAGACUCCUACGGGAGGCAGCAGUGGGGAAUAUUGCACAAUGGGCGGAAGCCGUAUGCAGCAACGCCGCGUGCGGGAUGACGGCCUUCGGGUUGUAAACCGCUUUCGCCUGUGACGAAGCGUGAGUGACGGUAAUGGGUAAAGAAGCACCGGCUAACUACGUG
Molecule: ribosomal RNA, 468 nt
Filed under: uncultured bacterium
Lineage: Bacteria
Description: partial 16S ribosomal RNA
Rfam family: Bacterial small subunit ribosomal RNA
Source: RNAcentral